CCUACGGGAGGCAGCAGUGGGGAAUAUUGGACAAUGGGGGCAACCCUGAUCCAGCAAUUCUGUGUGCACGAAGAAGGUUUUCGGAUUGUAAAGUGCUUUCAGCAGGGAAGAAGCAAGUGACGGUACCUGCAGAAGAAGCGACGGCUAAAUACGUGCCAGCAGCCGCGGUAAUACGUAUGUCGCAAGCGUUAUCCGGAAUUAUUGGGCAUAAAGGGCAUCUAGGCGGCCCUGUAAGUCUAGGGUGAAAACCUGCGGCUCAACCGCAGGCCUGCCCCGGAAACUACAGGGCUGGAGUAUUGGAGAGGUGGACGGAACUGCACGAGUAGAGGUGAAAUUCGUAGAUAUGUGCAGGAAUGCCGAUGAUGAAGAUAGUUCACUGGACGAUAACUGACGCUGAAGUGCGAAAGCUGGGGGAGCGAACAGGAUUAGAUACCCUGGUAGUC
Molecule: ribosomal RNA, 443 nt
Filed under: uncultured Leptotrichia sp.
Lineage: Bacteria; Fusobacteriati; Fusobacteriota; Fusobacteriia; Fusobacteriales; Leptotrichiaceae
Description: bacterial SSU rRNA
Rfam family: Bacterial small subunit ribosomal RNA
Source: RNAcentral